UGAGUAACCUGCCCUUCACUCUGGGAUAACUCCGGGAAACCGGGGCUAAUACUGGAUACGACUCGAACAGGCAUCUGUAUCGGGUGGAAAGAUUUAUUGGUGGAGGAUGGACUCGCGGCCUAUCAGCUUGUUGGUGAGGUAAUGGCUCACCAAGGCGACGACGGGUAGCCGGCCUGAGAGGGCGAUCGGCCACACGUGGGACUGAGACACGGCCCAGACUCCGUACGGGNGCA
This 233-nucleotide ribosomal RNA is filed under the name uncultured bacterium. RNAcentral's name for it is "partial 16S ribosomal RNA". It matches the Rfam family "Bacterial small subunit ribosomal RNA", at positions 118 to 347 of the family's 1533-position model. The record is from RNAcentral.